This 424-nucleotide unclassified non-coding RNA is filed under the name Hevea brasiliensis (rubber tree). The record is from RNAcentral. Lineage: Eukaryota; Viridiplantae; Streptophyta; Magnoliopsida; Malpighiales; Euphorbiaceae.
AUAAUAAUAAUAAUAAUAAACUCUCUUUGCUAUUAUUUUCUGGGGUUAUGUGCGGUAAUUUAGCUUAAGUAUUUGGUGUGGAGUAUUUUAUUUUGCAGUUACAUUUCUUUGUUGUUAGUAAACAUGUAUUGUAGCAUAAAUGAAAUGCAUGCAUUAAUGUUGAUGAAUGACCAUCGACACUUCAUUCUCAAUGUAAUUCUACUUAGCUAACCAUAUUUCUAACCACUUGACAUUUAUUGCAUUAACGAUGUAACAAAAAUCUUGUUUUGUUUGAAACUUUUUGUUGGCUAUUUUAUGUUUCAAACAAUGUCAUUUUUGUUCUACCUCUUAGUUCUUACCACUUUAAUGUGCUUAUUCUUUUGUAAGCAUUGUUGUUAAGGUUCAAGGUGUGGUAAGGUGCAAAGCAGUUUUGGAGCCCAGGCGC